AGCGAACGCUGGCGGCAGGCCUAACACAUGCAAGUCGAACGAACCUUUCGGGGUUAGUGGCGGACGGGUGAGUAGCACGUGGGAACGUGCCUUUAGGUUCGGAAUAACUCAGUGAAACUUGUGCUAAUACCGAAUGUGCCCUUCGGGGGAAAGAUUAAUCGCCUUUAGAGCGGCCCGCGUCUGAUUAGCUAGUUGGUUGAGGUAAUGGCUCACCAAGGCGACGAUCAGUAGCUGGUCUGAGAGGAUGAUCAGCCACAUUGGGACUGAGACACGGCCCAAACUCCUACGGGAGGGAGCAGUGGGGAAUCUUGCGCAAUGGGCGAAAGCCUGACGCAGCCAUGCCGCGUGAAUGAUGAAGGUCUUAGGAAUGUAAAAUUCUUUCACCGGGGACGAUAAUGACGGUACCCGGAGAAGAAGCCCCGGCUAACUUCGUG
This 434-nucleotide ribosomal RNA is filed under the name uncultured bacterium. RNAcentral's name for it is "partial 16S ribosomal RNA". It matches the Rfam family "Bacterial small subunit ribosomal RNA", at positions 29 to 507 of the family's 1533-position model. The record is from RNAcentral.